UUACAAGGAGGAAUUGUGGUCAUCAGUAACAACAGAAAGCCCUCAGUAAACUCCCGAGGGAUUGCAAGCUGGCCCAAGCUGGCCCCCUCAGCUUUGGACUGCUUCUGCAAGAAUCGGCUUCUGGUCUCCUGAUAACUGAAGUGGAGACAGAAGCUGACAGAAGCUGAGCCUGUUUUCCAGGCAAACUAAAGCUGCUUUUGUUCUUCGGAAUCUGCUUUGCCUCCGUCAGCCUGGUUCCUUCCCCACAUGCUGGCCGCACUGUCCCCACUCCAGACCUCUGCUGCGUGUCCUGGCAGCUCGGCAGUGGCCUUUCAACGCAUCCUAAGCUUCGUGUAGAUUACUUUAGUAUAUAUUUUUUAUAAAACAUAAAGCCUUUCCUCUCGAUGGAAAUCAAAGCUUACCAUGUGAGCACUCGAACUUCUGAGUUCUGACGGGAAUAACAAAACUGCAAGGAGUGGAAAAGAUGGAAAAGCUGUGGGAAAUCCGAGGCCUUUUGAAGGAAGGGAGCUGAUGACUUCACGACCAGCUCCUGGAGCCCGUCCUUUCUGCUGAAGCCGCGGCAUUUCCCUCCGUGGCCACACGAGGGCACCCUUGGCCCUUUUAUCAAAGCGCCUUCACUUCCCCGUGGGAAUGGAGACAAGUCUGUCCAUGGUGUUUUCUUGAAAUACCCAGUUGCUACCCAGAUUUGUAUUUUUAUGUAAACAAAUACAUUUUCACAGAAAUAAAAUUUGAAAAAUAAAAGUAGAAAGAGAAAAAAA
RNAcentral lists this small RNA (758 nucleotides) under Pongo abelii (Sumatran orangutan). Its description in RNAcentral is "processed transcript". Lineage: Eukaryota; Metazoa; Chordata; Mammalia; Primates; Hominidae. The record is from RNAcentral.